RNAcentral lists this ribosomal RNA (465 nucleotides) under uncultured bacterium. Its description in RNAcentral is "partial 16S ribosomal RNA". It matches the Rfam family "Bacterial small subunit ribosomal RNA", at positions 28 to 507 of the family's 1533-position model. The record is from RNAcentral.
GACGAACGCUGGCGGCGUGCUUAACACAUGCAAGUCGAACGGAAAGGCCCCUUCGGGGGUACUCGAGUGGCGAACGGGUGAGUAACACGUGAGUAACCUGCCCUUGACUUCGGGAUAACUUCAGGAAACUGGGGCUAAUACCGGAUAGGAAUCCUUGCUGCAUGGUGGGGGUUGGAAAGCUUCGGCGGUUUUGGAUGGACUCGCGGCUUAUCAGCUUGUUGGUGGGGUAGUGGCUUACCAAGGCUUUGACGGGUAGCCGGCCUGAGAGGGCGACCGGCCACAUUGGGACUGAGAUACGGCCCAGACUCCUACGGGAGGCAGCAGGGGGGAAUAUUGCACAAUGGGCGGAAGCCUGAUGCAGCAACGCCGCGUGCGGGAUGACGGCCUUCGGGUUGUAAACCGCUUUCAGCAGGGGCGAAGCUUGUGGUGACGGUACCUGCAGAAGAAGCACCGGCUAACUACGUG